Pelobates cultripes (western spadefoot toad) is the source of this 167-nucleotide non-coding RNA. Lineage: Eukaryota; Metazoa; Chordata; Amphibia; Anura; Pelobatidae. The record is from the annotation of a GenBank genome assembly.
GGUCAGCUGACACAUCCCUGCCAAUCUCCGGCAGACCCUCCCUCCCAGAUCCUCCUACUUCCUGGACAGCAUCCAUGUUGAAGGCAGCUUCAACAUGGAUGCUGUCCAGGAGGUGGGAGGGUCUGGGAGGGAGGGUCUGCCGGAGAUUGGCAGGGAUGUGUCAGCUG